UUGAGAGAGGCGCAGUUUUUAAGAGUAAAAAUUAGAUAAUUCAGAAUAAUGCUAAUUUAUGAAAGGAAAAACUGCCGAAAUUAAAAAAGAUAGUCUGAUAUCCUUUUUAGUUGGAUUAAUGCAAAAUAUGUAUUAGUCUGUCACAAGAAAAACUUGUGGAGUGCUGUC
RNAcentral lists this non-coding RNA (168 nucleotides) under human gut metagenome. RNAcentral describes it as "Lysine riboswitch". It matches the Rfam family "Lysine riboswitch aptamer". Rfam says of the family: Riboswitches are metabolite binding domains within certain messenger RNAs that serve as precision sensors for their corresponding targets. Allosteric rearrangement of mRNA structure is mediated by ligand binding, and this results in modulation of gene expression. This family includes riboswitches that sense lysine in a number of genes involved in lysine metabolism, including lysC. The record is from RNAcentral.